GGCCUAGUAGUUUAAUGAAAAUGUCAAGCUGCAAUUUUGAAGAUGUAAAUAUUACCUGAGCCU
Molecule: transfer RNA, 63 nt
Filed under: Palaemon gravieri
Lineage: Eukaryota; Metazoa; Arthropoda; Malacostraca; Decapoda; Palaemonidae
Also listed under: 1 other name
Description: tRNA-Cys
Rfam family: tRNA
About the family: Transfer RNA (tRNA) molecules are approximately 80 nucleotides in length.
Source: RNAcentral